CCUACGGGAGGCAGCAGUGGGAAAUAUUGGGCAAUGGGCGCAAGCCUGACCCAGCAACGCCGCGUGAAGGAAGAAGGCUUUCGGGUUGUAAACUUCUUUGAAGAGGGAAGAGCAGAAGACUGUACCUCUUGAAUAAGCCACGGCUAACUACGUGCCAGCAGCCGCGGUAAUACGUAGGUCGCAAGCGUUGUCCGGAUUUACUGGGUGUACAGGGCGUGUAGCCGGGCUGACAAGUAAGAUGUGAAAUUCCGGGGCUCAACCCCGGACCUGCAUUUGAAACUGUUGGUCAUGAGUAUAGGAGAGGCAGGCGGAAUUACUAGUGUAGCGGUGAAAUGCGUAGCUAUUAGGAGGAACACCAGUGGCGAAGGCGGCCUGCUGGACGACAACUGACGGUGAGGCGCGAAAGCGUGGGGAGCAAACAGGAUUAGAUACCCUAGUAGUC
Molecule: ribosomal RNA, 442 nt
Filed under: uncultured bacterium
Lineage: Bacteria
Description: partial 16S ribosomal RNA
Rfam family: Bacterial small subunit ribosomal RNA
Source: RNAcentral